GGUACCGUGUAACCACAAAUACAUCGCUAUGAGCACGUGGACCACCGAAAUCGAGUCCCGUGUAACAAACAAAGGAUAUUUCACCUUGCUAUUCGGUCGGAGAAGAGGAAGAAGAAGCCGACUUCGGAAGGAAGAGGUUCGGAUCCACCGAACCUUACAUGGGAGAGGAGGAAGAAGCACCACGAACUCGCUGCACCAACGCCGUGUCCGG
RNAcentral lists this long non-coding RNA (211 nucleotides) under Sorghum bicolor (sorghum). RNAcentral's name for it is "long non-coding RNA (SBIC_LNC001378)". The record is from RNAcentral. Lineage: Eukaryota; Viridiplantae; Streptophyta; Magnoliopsida; Poales; Poaceae.